UUAGACCUACGGGGCGCAGCAGUCGGGAAUAUUGCGCAAUGGAGGAAACUCUGACGCAGUGACGCCGCGUGCAGGAAGAAGGUUUUCGGAUUGUAAACCGCUUUAGACAGGGAAGAUAAAAGACAGUACCUGUAGAAUAAGCUCCGGCUAACUACGUGCCAGCAGCCGCGGUAAUACGUUGGGAGCAAGCGUUAUCCGGAUUUAUUGGGUGUAAAGGGUGCGUAGACGGGAAGGCAAGUUAGUUGUGAAAUCCCUCGGCUUAACUGAGGAACUGCAACUAAAACUACAUUUCUUGAGUGCUGGAG
RNAcentral lists this ribosomal RNA (305 nucleotides) under uncultured bacterium. RNAcentral describes it as "bacterial SSU rRNA". It matches the Rfam family "Bacterial small subunit ribosomal RNA", at positions 333 to 654 of the family's 1533-position model. The record is from RNAcentral.